Heterocephalus glaber (naked mole-rat) is the source of this 4559-nucleotide non-coding RNA. Lineage: Eukaryota; Metazoa; Chordata; Mammalia; Rodentia; Bathyergidae. The record is from RefSeq and is a predicted model, not a curated record.
UAUAAUGAAUCAAUUCACAUUAAUUUUUAAAUUCAGCAAUGCAGAUGUUUCUGGGAUUUAAUCAUCCCCUUUCUCUCCAAGGGAAGAAGCAAUGCUGUCCACGUACUUUGAAACCAUCAAUCGAGUGGUCUGAUUCUUAAAAGUUCCUGUUUCUUAAAAGUUCCACCUCAUCAACACUACCACACUGAGGACCAAGCCUUCAGCACAACAACCUUUGGGGGGACAAACGAUAUUCAAACCACCAUCCACUGUCAAUCCACCACCCAUCAUCCACCCAUCCAUCCAUCCAUCCACCAUCCAUCCAUCCAUCCAUCCAUCCCUUUGUUAAUUCUCCCAUUCACUUAAGAGUUAUAUUUGAGGGCCUACUAUAUCCUAAGACCUGUGUUUAUUGCUGUGGAUACAGUAGUGAGCAAAAAUGGGCACAGUCCCUGCCCGCAUGGAGGUUUAGUCCACUGAAUGAAGGACACUGAGUGCUGUGAAUUUUUUAAAAUUUGUGAUAAGUUGAUCAAAUCUGGUUAUGAAAAGACACAUCUGGAGGUCAUGUGAAGAGCGAACUUGAGAAAGGAUAAAACAGGGGUGAGCUCUUAUUUUGGAGGCUGGGGCAGUGGUCUCAGAAUGGGAUAGUAAGGAGUUCAGCUAGGGCAACGUAACUGAGCACACAAGCCUCUGGCCACUGAAGGCUGCUUCACUAACUCACUUCGGAAGUAUAUCAGAAGAAGCAUGGUACAGCAGCAGUUAAGAGCAAGUGCUUCGAUGCUGCAUCUGGGCCUGCCACUGGCUACCUGGGUAAUGUUGGAAAUGUUAUUUCAUCUCUGUAUCUGGAUAGCCUCAACUCUAUGAGUACUGGUGGGAUAGUGUCCCCCAAAUUCACAUUUACCCGGUACCCAUGAAUGUCCCCUUCUUUGGAAGUAGAGUCUUUCCAGAUGUGAUUCGUGAAAGUGAGGUCACACUGAUUACCAUGACUUCCACUUCAUCCAAUGUUUGGUGCCCUUGUACAAAAACAGAGACACAAAGGACACCAUGUGACAUUGGAGAAAGAGACUGCAGUGAUGCUGUCGAAGCCAAGAGGUCUUAAGGAUUGCCGCCAGCCGUUAGAAGCUGAAGAGUUCUAGAGGCAACAAGUCCAAGAUCAAGAUAUCAGCAGGUUGAACUUCUCGUGAAGGCCUCCCUCCUUGGCUGGAUGAUGACGGUCUCCUUGCUGUGUCUUCCCAUGGCCUUCCACCUUGUGCAGCCCUGGUGUCUUCUAUAAACCUCGAACUUAAUGUACUACAAGAUCACCUGAGGCACUUGUUAAUGAUAAGCAUUCCUUUUUCCUUGGAGAAUCUAAUUCAAUAAAUCUGGAAGCAUCUUGGAGCGGAUCUCAUGCCUGUGACCUUCAGACAACGCCCUGGAAAACACUUUCAAGAUGUCCAUCAAGAGGGCCCUCUUGGAGUGGAACUGUAACGCAGCAGCUGCCGUUUCUGCCUUGAACGUGGGUACUGAGCUGACCCAUCCAUAGGUCUCGUUUGACAUUUCCUCACUGCAUCACCUGGUUACAGGAACUCUCAGGCAGAUGUAGGGCGUCAGUGUGGAGAGCAGAUGGACAGAGGCAGGGAAGAAGCAGAGGCUUGAAACUUAGGAGUGAAGGACAGAGCAACAUAAAAUGACUUCUGGGCAUCGAUGUGAAUGGGAUGAAGAGAGCGAGUGACACUCACUGAGUUUCAGCCUCUGUGGGAACAACUCAUGCAGAUUUCCUCUGGAACCCAGGACACAGGUACUUCCUAUACUUCACUUGUUUUAGGACCUAACUGACUUGGUUUGAAUGUGUUCUCCAGAAAGCCCGCCUUGGGAACUCCGUCUCCACUGCACCAGCAUUAGGAGGUGGAGGCAGGAGGGAGGGAGAAUGGAUUGAGGCUGCUGUGGGCAGUGAGUUCUCCUCAUGGGAGUGGAGUCCUUACGAAGGCGGAGUUGGGCCCCAUUUACUCCUCCUUCCCUUCCCGCUUUCCUUCCUCUCUUCUCUCCCCUCCUCUCUCCUUCCCUCCCUCCCUCUCUCUCUUUCACUCUGUUUCUCCAUCUCUCUCUCUCUUUCCCUUCUGCCCUCUGUCAUCAACAACCCAGAAAGAGGACCUUCAUCAGAUGCGGGGCCCUUGAUCUUAGAUGUCCCAGCCUCGGGGACCAAACAAUACAUUUCUGUUCAUCCUAAAUUACCCAGACUCGGGCAUUCUGUUAUAGCAGUACAGAAUAGAUUAAAACGGCCUUGGAUUGCUCCAUAUAAUUACUUUUAUCUGGACUAAAGAAAAUUCAAUUUAGCUUUGAAUAAGUAUCAGUCUUACAGGUAAUGUUCUGUAGUUGUUACAGAACUGGUUCUUCCCAUUUAUUUAUGGCUGAAUAAUCAAAUCAGUAUCUGGCACAGAGUAGGCAGGCAGUGAUCAUCUGAUGAAAUGAACUAAACCAUUUUUAAAUUAAACCCUUAAGUAACUGUUUGCUAGAUGACUCACACAUAGGUCGUUAGAAAGCAGAACAUGACAGCAACCAGGGCCGUACUUGGUUCAUAUCCAUCUUCACCUUCUGCCAUGUUUCCUUGGUUAGAAUAAACUCUGGAAAUUUGAUGUGGAAUCUCAAUAAUGGGACAAUCAGUUGGAGUGCUUGGAAACCAUUUGGAUAAUUCAUCUUUAAGGAGGAUAUAGUCAGGAUGGGCAAAGGGAAAUGGACUUUGGCUCCAGUAUUUCCUAAUAAUUCUCUUUUACUCAACAGCACUGCAUUAGAAGAACCAUGGACUGUUAGGACUGGAAGAGGCCUUAGCGACCACAAAAUCCAAAUGCUUUGUUUUACGGAUGAGAACAGUGAGGCCUACUAAGGUUAAACAGGGUUACCCUAUGCUUUACGACUAAUCAGCAAUAGAGUGGGACACAGACGUCAAUGCUCGGUCCUCUAAACCAGGUCAAACCAAGCAUCAUUUGAGUAACUAAUAUAUUUUUAGACAAUUUGCUAAUUUCUACUGCUGCAAAAAUGAAUCCCCUAGACUUUAGUUUUCUGUCUGCCAGGAGUCAGACACAAAGUCAGAUUUUAACACCAUGAAUUAAGUGGCAUGAUAUAAAUAUAAUACAAUCAUCAUUAUUCACCACCAAUUGAGAAUUUAGAGAACCUUCUGUGAAUCACUUUAUAUAGCUUAAUAAUUUAAUCUUCUUGUGAACUGCUUUAUCUGUUAUUUCCUUUCCAACUCCAAGCUGUGGGAAAUACUGAAAAUACACAUUGGGAAGAUAUCUUCAAAUCAGAGUCCGAGUCCAGGUUGUUUCUCUUUUCCCUGGGUCUGAAGGUAUCAAACCCCCCUGCCCUGACUUGGGCAGUCACUAGACAGCACUACACUAAUUGUGCUUGGGAUAUAAGGGCCACGUGAAAAGUUCCAGGAUCCUUUUAUGGACCAGGGCUAGUGGAAACCUCUAUGAUUACCCUAGCGUAUGGAACGGAAGCUCGCCAAGUUUAUGAUUUCUUUGGAGAUUAUAUAGGAGUGUUAAAAGACCGUAAGGUCACAUUUAGAGCUGGUGAAAGGCUUUUUAAGGUUUACGAGGCACACAACAGAGUAUUAGUUGGCCUUUCUGACAGCUCAGCCAUGAACACGGCUUUUACUGCUUCAUAGGGACCGAUGGUUGAAAAUCUAUGACAACAUCAAUUUACAUGUUGACAGUUCACUAAAUACAUAAUAACCAUGUUCUAAAAUGUUUUACAGGAAGGCUGGGAAGUUGGCUGCUAAAAUCAAGGCACUUUCACGAAAACAGAAUCAAAAAGCCAAGAUUUACUCUGAGAGUUAUCACUGAUCCACACGGGGACACACACAUUCCCAGGACCCCUGUAUGUGCCAGUGAGCUCUGUUGCCCGAACCAAGAGCAGCUCAAGAGCUUGUGGCAGAAGUUUGCUUGUUUUUAGCACUUACCUCCCUAAACCUUUUGCCACCCACAAAACUAGUGUAUUAUGCAACUAGAGAAUCAAAGCUGAACUUGUAUUCUCAGCUCCCGUCUCUAUGCGAUCAUUUGUUAUUUGCCAAACACCAUUCUAGUUUCUGGGAAAAUAGCAAAGAGAAAUAGAGUCCCUGGCUUCAGAGAGCUUACAUUCUAAUUGUAAAGACCAGUGGGUGUAGAAAGCAGAAGUAAACUGGCUGUGGUACUAAGUGAAGAGCGCGACAAUAGAGUAGAGACGUUUGUGUAUAUGUGUCUGAGGCCGCUGGGCAGCGCUGGCUUAGCUAAGACAAUGGGGAAGACCUUUCAAUGGUAGACCCUUCUCAAUCCUAAGGAAGAGAAAACCAUGUCUUUGCAGAGAUCUGGGAGCAGGUAGUUCAAGCACAGGAAAAACAAUUGCAAAGGCCCUGAGCUAGGAAGCUCAAAGACAUUCUUGCAUUUAAUUUUAAUUGUAAGAUGCAUUUAAUGUUAUGGUGCUGGAUUCUUUCUCAACAAUAAAUAUUUUGAAGGCCUAAGGAUUAUUUUGAUAUAAAUGUGAUAUCCUGAAAGAACACACACAUAAGCCCGAGGAAAGCCAGAGUAGCUGGGAUGUAGGAACGGGAACAGGGGGAGGACAGAGUGGAGUGA